UGCGCGGCGCCGCGGGGCCUUAGCGGACGGAGGGGAGCGCGGGGGUCACCGGGCCGGGCCGGCAGCCCUAGAGCUCGGCCUGGCGGGGACCCUGGGCCAGCCCCGCGCCUCCGUGGCCCGGGCGUCUCGUGCGUGUCCGCGAACUCGCGUGCGCGCGUCACCUCGGACCGCAGCAUGGCUCGGAGGGCGGCCCUACUCGCGCCGCCCUAGUGCUGCGAAGGGCCUCGGAGCCCAAACCCGGAACCGCCAUCUGGGACUGGGAAGACGACAUGGCCAGAAGCCGGUGGAGUCUCGCUCUGUCACCCAGGCUGGAGUGCAAUGGCACGGUCUCAGCUCACUGCAACCUCUGCCUCCCAGAUUCAAGCAAUUCUGCCUCAACCUCCUGAGUAGCUGGGACUACAGGCACGUGUCACCACGCCCAGCUAUUUUUUUUUUUUUUUUUUUUUUUUUGAGACAGAGUCUCCCUCUGUCGCCCAGGCUGGAGUGCAAUGGCGCAAUCUCAGCUCACUGCAAGCUCCGCCUCCCCGGUUCCCGCCAUUCUCUUGCCUCAGCCUCCCGAGUAGCUGGCACUACAGGCGCCUGCCACCCAUGACCGGGUAAUUUUUUUUGUAUUUUUUAGUAGAGACGGGGUUUCACUGUGUUAGCCAGGAUGGUCUCGAUCUCCUGACCUCAUGAUCCGCCCGCCUCGGCCUCCCAAAGUGCUGGGAUUACAGGCGUGAGCCACCAUGCCCGGCCUUAAUAACUUUUUAAAGGAUGUCAAGUUAAUGGAAUGUAUUCUGCUUUAGAAAAUAAAACUCUUAGGUUUUCAAAACUUAGCAGCCCCAGCAUUACCAAGGGCCUGCCUACCGUUUACAGUAUGUGAAUCCUACUUCCUUUUCAUGGUUGUAAGACUGGGAUUUUCUGGGAGCCGACCUGCAGGAGUCCACAGGCCACCCGUUAGGACUGUGCACGCUCCUCCACAAACAUGCCUGUGGGGGGAUCCUUGGCUCUCUCUGCAGGGGUGCGUUGGGUGUGCACCAGCUGGGAAGGAAGGAUCUGUCGGAACUGCAAUCAAAGCCACGGCAGGCCUCCCAGGGUCUUACUGGUGGUGAAAACAACCAGCUUCCUCGUCCCUCCCUCAAGCAUGGCAACCACCGCCCUGAGACUCAAAGAUACCUGGAGGAGUGUGAUCGGGCUGACCUGUUGCUCUUAUCUGGAAUUCUUUGAGGGUGAUGGGAGAUCACUUCUUUUUUUUUUUUUUUUUUUUUUUUGAGACAGGAUCUUGUUUUGUCAACCAGGCUGGAGUGCAGGUUCAGGUGAUUCUUCCGCCUCAGCCUCCCCAAGUAGGCUGAGUAGCUGAGAAAACAGAUGCGCACCACCAUGCCUGGUUAAUUUUUGGAUGUUUUGCAGCCAUGUGGUUUCACCAUGUUGUCCAGUCUGGUCUUGAACUCCUGAGCUCAAGGGAUCCUCCCACCUCGGCCUCCCAAAGCAUUGAGAUUACAGGUAUGAGCCACUGUACCCGGCUACCCAGGAGAUUACUAUUUUUUGGCAUAAAACCAAACAAAACUAUUCAUUAGUUUAUCCACUCAACAUUGAUUUAUUAUUCCUGACUGCAGCCAACAACAUUGUGAAUACUUUCCCUGCCUCAAGCUCUGUUCUAGGUCCUAGAACAUUCAUGACAAUUUGUUUCUCUGCCCUCUGGCAGGUGAGAAAACUUUGUAAGAAGUUUCAAUAGCAAAAAGUAUGAGAAGAUGUACAAUAGAUCUGGGACUAUUUGUAACAAACCCGGUGGAAGAUGUAGGAGCAGAGGUGGAAGGCCUUAAAGAGGGUCCUGCGCAUGCCGGGCGGGCCUCCAACAGAGAAAACACACAACCUGGCC
Molecule: long non-coding RNA, 1858 nt
Filed under: Homo sapiens (human)
Lineage: Eukaryota; Metazoa; Chordata; Mammalia; Primates; Hominidae
Description: LHRI_LNC300.5
Source: RNAcentral